GACGAACGCUGGCGGCGUGCUUAACACAUGCAAGUCGAACGGAAAGGCCCUGCUUUUGUUGGGUGCUCGAGUGGCGAACGGGUGAGUAACACGUGAGUAACCUGCCCUUGACUUUGGGAUAACUUCAGGAAACUGGGGCUAAUACCGGAUAUGAGCUCCUGCUGCAUUGUGGGGGUUGGAAAGUUUCGGCUGUUGUGGAUGGUCUCGCUGCUUAUGCGCUUGUUGGUGGGGUAGUGGCUUACCAAGGCUUCGACGGGUAGCCGGCCUGGGAGGGUGGCCGGGGACAAGGGGACUAAGAGACGCAGCAGAAGGGAACGGGAGGCAGUAGUGGAAAGCGUGGCAGAAUGGGGGGGAGCCGGAGGCAGAGGCGUCGCGUUCGGGAUGAUGGGUUUCUGGGGGUAAACCGAUUUGGCCGGAACCGUGGCGGGAGUGACGGUACCGGGUAAAGAAGCACCGGCUAACUACGUG
This 468-nucleotide ribosomal RNA is filed under the name uncultured bacterium. RNAcentral describes it as "partial 16S ribosomal RNA". It matches the Rfam family "Bacterial small subunit ribosomal RNA", at positions 28 to 507 of the family's 1533-position model. The record is from RNAcentral.